This 476-nucleotide ribosomal RNA is filed under the name uncultured bacterium. RNAcentral describes it as "bacterial SSU rRNA". It matches the Rfam family "Bacterial small subunit ribosomal RNA", at positions 30 to 524 of the family's 1533-position model. The record is from RNAcentral.
UGAGCGCUGGCGGUAGGCCUAACACAUGCAAGUCGAGCGGAUGACAGGAGCUUGCUCCUGAAUUCAGCGGCGGACGGGUGAGUAAUGCCUAGGAAUCUGCCUGGUAGUGGGGGACAACGUUUCGAAAGGAACGCUAAUACCGCAUACGUCCUACGGGAGAAAGCAGGGGACCUUCGGGCCUUGCGCUAUCAGAUGAGCCUAGGUCGGAUUAGCUAGUUGGUGAGGUAAUGGCUCACCAAGGCGACGAUCCGUAACUGGUCUGAGGGGAUGAUCAGUCACACUGGAACUGAGACACGGUCCAGACUCCUACGGGAGGCAGCAGUGGGGAAUUUUCCGCAAUGGGCGAAAGCCUGACGGAGCAACGCCGCGUGAGGGAUGAAGGCCUCUGGGCUGUAAACCUCUUUUAUCAAGGAAGAAGAUCUGACGGUACUUGAUGAAUAAGCCACGGCUAAUUCCGUGCCAGCAGCCGCGGUAAU